CCUCCUCUUGUUAACAUGUAACUCUUGUGUUGUACAUUACCAUACUUGUACUCUUAGAUUACAGGAUCUGUAGUGACUCCCUAGGCCUGUGUGCCCCUUUUCUCCGUCUACUUCUCUCUCUCACGAGUACAUAUGUGUAACAUUCUCUCUCUCACGAGUACAUAUGUGUAACAGUUGUAUGAGAUCAAUCUAGUGAAGGCAAAC
Molecule: long non-coding RNA, 204 nt
Filed under: Hordeum vulgare
Lineage: Eukaryota; Viridiplantae; Streptophyta; Magnoliopsida; Poales; Poaceae
Description: long non-coding RNA (HVUL_LNC014974)
Source: RNAcentral